AGCUCCAAUAACGUAUAUUGACAUUGCUGCAGUUAGAGCGUUCGAAUUCUAAUUUCUGCUGUGACUUAUGGGUCUACCCUAUGGGUGUGUACUCACUUUUGUCCAGCAUCCUUCUAGAUUAUGUUUUAUACUUUAUUGUAUAAAGUGUAGUCUAGGACCGUUACUUUGAGAAAAAUAGAGUGUUCCAAGCAAGCAUUUGCUCUGAAUACUGUAGCAUGGGAUAACACGAUAGGAUUUCGGUUCUAUUUUGUUGGUUUCCGGACUGAAAUAAUGAUUAAUAGGAACAGUCGGGGGCGUUCGUAUUUAACUGUCAGAGGUGAAAUUCUUAGAUUUGUUAAAGACGAACUAAUGCGAAAGCAUUCGCCAAGGAUGUUUUCA
This 378-nucleotide ribosomal RNA is filed under the name uncultured eukaryote. Its description in RNAcentral is "SSU rRNA". It matches the Rfam family "Eukaryotic small subunit ribosomal RNA", at positions 587 to 972 of the family's 1831-position model. The record is from RNAcentral.